CUGGAGAAGCUACUGGUUUUUGAUGGGCAGGAGCCGAGACUGUUAACAGUGGUCAGUCACAUCCCAGUGGAGAAUGUGCAGGAAACACUCAGUGGGAAAGGAUGCUCGGGAUUUAACUCCUCGGAAGAGUAGCAGUCCCCACGAGAUUGGACAGCUUGAGUAAAUAAGGGAAGAGAAGAGUUGCUGGCAGAGAAUUGGUGAGACCAGAGAACUAGGAGAGGGCCGAGCACUUCCGGAAGGACAUCACCAGCACGGGGGACUGCAGAGAAGAGGCCUAAAGGCAGGCUGCUUCCAGAGCCAGUGACUUCAGGACAGCGGUAGGGUGGAGGCCAGAGACAGGCAGUGGAGCUGCAGAAGGAAGGAGGCGACUGCCUGUAUCUGUCGUAGCUGUCUCUGCCGUACGCUCCAUCAAGGUGGGAUCCUCAUUCAAGUGUGGGCCCUUCACUGUACCAGAGAUAGUGCCAACUGGACCGGCAGGUGAUCGGCUCUGCUCCUGGAGUGAAUGAGUGACCCACGGUGAGACCAUGAAGAAAGCUUCCUGGUUUGCAGACUGGUCAGUUGGCAGACAAUUAGUGAAACUCUUCAGAAAGAGGUGUGAUGGGAAGGGGGAUGAUUGAGGGUAUGGGGAGGUGUGACUCCGGACACUCAGGGAAAAAUAAAUUCAACUGACCUUUGAGCAGAAGUUCUUAACCUUAAAGAUCCCCGACCCUUGGACCUGCCUUGAAGCAAUGAACAUGUGCUCCAGACCAACAGGCAUCGCGCUCACAUCCAGCCUGCAUAUGAUUUCAGGCAUUUCACAGACCCUGCGGCCCACCUACAGGCCUGCUCAGUGGUCCGUGGGUUCCAAGUCAAGAAGGAUGUGCUUCCAAAUGGAGCAUUUGCCAGUCCUGUGACCUGGGGUCCAUCACUUACCACCCCACCCUCCCAGGCCUCAAUUUCCUUAUCUGUAAAUUGAGGGCUAUGAGGUGGAGGUGAAGAGUGCCAGGAAACCAACAAUUGUGUGAGUCAUCUCGUGCAGGUAUUUUACACACCACAAAUACUCUACGCUGUUAGUGGGUAGAAUUAUCCCCCUUUUGCAAAUAGGGAAAUGGAGACUCAGUUCAAGAAACUUGCCCAAAUGUACGCACGAGUAAAUGAAGGAGCUAGACAGCACCCAGGUCUGCCUGACUCUAAAUUCCGGGCUCUGUCCUGUAGACUGUGCUGCCUACAGGGUAGAACAUUAUUGCUGCCUGUCUGCCCACCCCUGGCACGGUGAAUGCGCUAAUGUACGUGAAAACCAUUUGGAAACUGGACAGCACUUAUGCUAAUACAAGGUACCACCUUGGUCUCAUCAUUAUUGAUCACCCGUAUCUCAAAAUCCCUUCCUUGGCAUCUGUUAUGUUCCUUCCCCUAACCUCAGGCCACUUAUUCCUUGCUUCUGUCACCUGCUCCUCCUUUUCCUCCUGUCUCCUGAGGGUAUGUCCCCACCUCUUGCUUCCUGUUCUUUACUCUCGAAAUCUCCUCAUCCUACAACUUCAGCUUUGACCUCCAAGCAGGUGACUCUCAAAUCUCUUCUCCAGCCCAGAGCCUUAUUUCAACCACCAGCUGCAAGCGUUAUCACUUUAAAUCGCUGGUCUCAGAUUUUGCUGUGCAUCAGGCUCACCUGGAGCGUUUGUUAAAACACAGAUUGCUGGGUUGCACUCCCACAGCUUCUUAUUCAGUAGGCCUGGGGUGGGGCCAAAGAAUAUGUUUUUACAGUAUUAAACAAGGUACUUUUUUUUUAACAGCAUUAUACAAAGUAUAAUUACAUACAAUAAACUGCACAUAUUUAAAGUAAACAAUUCGAUAAGUUUUGACAAUUGAAUACAUUCAUGAAACCAGCACCACAAUCAAGGUGAUGAAUAUAUCCAUACCCCCAAAAGUCUCCUUGUUACCCUUUAUAAUCUCUCUUAUCCUUCCCUCAACCUCCACCCCCAUCCCCAGGCCUCUUUUAACCUGUUUGUGUCACUACAGGUUACUUUGCAUUUUCUAGAAUUUUAUGUAAAUGGAAUAAUAAAAUAUGUACCCUUUAUUGUUUUUGGCUUUUUCACUCAGCAUAGUUAUUUUGCGAUGCAUCCAUGUUGGGGCAUAUUAUCAAUAGUUCACUCAUUUUGUUUCUCCAUUUACUGGUGGAUGGACAUUUGAGUUUCCAAGUUGGGGCUCCCAAGAGGAUUUGUGUAAAAACCUGUGUGCUUUAACUUAUCUUGAAAGUGGAACGUCUGGGUCAUGUGGUAAGUGUAUCUUUAACUUUUUAAGGAACUGCCAGACUGUU
Molecule: long non-coding RNA, 2290 nt
Organism: Hipposideros armiger (great roundleaf bat)
Lineage: Eukaryota; Metazoa; Chordata; Mammalia; Chiroptera; Hipposideridae
Exons: 3
Source: RefSeq, a predicted model, not a curated record